AUGUAAAACUCGGAGCUGGUUAAGCCGGCUUAACUCCGCUUAUUCCAAUAAGACCCCUACUUGAGCAACUACUCUCUAAAAUCCUAAACGAAACCAAAUAUGGGCAUGGCGGUAUUUUAAUUAUAGCCCGAUUCAUUGCCGAUCAAAACACCCGGCUGCCUUCGUCCUCCAUAGCUUUGCACGAAACUUCGAUAUCGAGCUCCAAACUCAUUACUGUCUCUAAAAUAUUCCACUUCGGAACCAGUUCUUGAAUCUCUAAAUCUCGGAAUCGUCGCAGCUCGAGAACAAGUAACGUCACCGUUACCACAAUUGACAAGGAGCAGUGUUCUCAUCAAGUGGUAAUUAUUAAAAGUAGCAAAAAUUUGGCCUUUAUGUGCUGUAGUAUCACAACUUUGUCAUGCACCACUGUGUUUUCUGGGUUUGUAACACAGAGGCUGAGUGGAAAUUAAUGCAAUGGCAACAUCUAGCAAGUUUGAUCUGUCUUCUGGUAGCCCGGAUAGACCAUUAUACACCAGUGGCCAGCGUGGAUCCCACAUAGCUGCUCCAUUGGAUAGAUCAGGUAGCUUUCGGGAGAACAUGGAGAAUCCAAUUCUAUCUUCUCUUCCGAACAUGUCGAGAAGCAGUUCUGCAGCAACACAAGGUGAUGUUGUGAACUUCUUCCAAUUUUUGCGUUUAGAUCCAAAGUUGCUGGCUGCAGAGCAUAAGUCUAAUCGUCAAGUGGACUUGAAACGACAUGUGAGUCUUGCUCUUAGCGCUUCGCCAGAUGAUUCUUCAUCUGGUUCUUUAAAAGGGAAGCUGCUAUCAUCUCCAGUACCGGAGGAAGUCAAAAGAGUAAAGGCUGGUCUGCGUGAAAGCUCUGUGAAGGCGAGGGAACGUAUAAAAACUUUCAAUGAAUCAUUAUCUGUAUUCAACAAGUUUUUCCCAACCGUACCAUCAAAGAAGAGAUCCAGGUUAGAAGGUUUUUCUAAUGACCGGUCUAGUAUGUUAUCAAGUGAUCGGUCUGUCCUGGGGCCAAGUGUAGGUAAGAUCGGAAAUCAGUGUCAUGCUGCCACCAGUGGUUUUGAACUUGAGCAGCAAAAAUUGGAAGAACGACCUAAAAAUGUUGUGCCGAACAAGCGCACUCGAACUUCUUUGCUUGAUGUGCGAAUGGAUGUGCAGAGUAAUGCUCAUGUCAGGCUAUCUGGAGCUAUAGAUAGAGACAGGGAAAUGCAAAGGCUUGCAAAUAGUGGUGCGGUUCAGGCUGAGGAUCGAACACUACCUAUUGGUGGCGAUGGUUGGGAAAAGUCAAAAAUGAAGAAAAAACGUUCUGGGAUAAAGCCAGAUGUUUCUCCAAGUACAGUGUCAACUAAACCAAUUGAUGGCUACCGGGAUGCUAAACAGGGAAUACAGCAGAGGCCUGUUGCUGAUGCUCGGUCGAGGUUAAGUAAUGAAUCCCAUGGUUUCAGGCCUCCAGUCCUUAAUGGAGCUGUUGGAGUUGGAAAGUCAGAUGGUAUCUCACAACAGACCGGCCUGGGCAUGCGUUCCUCCAUCCCUAGGACUGACCCCGACUAUGGUUCCCUCAUGAAUGAUAGGAGAGAUCGCCCUCUGGGUUCAGAUAAGGAAAGGGUUAAUGCCAGAGCUGUUAAUAAGACAAAUGUUCGUGAUGAUUUUAAUUCAGCCAGUCCUACCUCAAACGCGAAAAUGAAUGCAUCUAUUCGAGCUCCAAGAUCAAGUUCAGGUGUUGCACCCAAGUUGUCCCCUAUUGUCCAUCGAGCGAAUGUCCCUAGUGAUUGGGAGCUUUCUAGUUGUUCGAACAAGCCCCCUGCUGCUGUUGGACCCAAUAAUCGAAAACGAGCGGCAUCAACACGGUCUUCAUCCCCACCUGUUCACUGGGCUGGCCAGAGGCCACAGAAGAAUUCCCGAACUGCUAGACGAACAAAUCUUGUUCCUCCUAUUGUUUCGAGUAAUGAUGAAACUCCUGCUCCGGAUGCUGGAUCUGAUAUCACUGGUAGCGAAAUUGGGUUGGGGCUUGCCAGACGCUUGCAUGGCAGUUCUCCUCAGCGAGUGAAAUUAAAAAGUGAUCCUUUGUCUUCAGCCACCUUAUCUGAAAGUGAGGAGUCAGGGGCUGUGGAAACUAAAUCCAGAGAUAAGUGUAGAAAGUCUGAUGAGAUAGAUGAGAAGGUUGUGCAGAGUGUACAAAAGGUUUCAACAUUAGUCCUGUCAUCAAGAAAGACUAAGCCAGUUGCUGCAGACGAUCUUGGAGAUGGUAUUCGGAGGCAAGGUAGGACUGGGCGAGGUUUUACUUCCACAAGGUCUCUCCUGCCAAUGACUGUUGAGAAGAUUGUGAAUUUGGGAACAGCAAAACAGCUCAGGAGUGCAAGGCUUGGGUUUGAUAAGACUGAAAGCAAGGCAGGUCGUCCACCAACGAGGAAACUUUCUGACCGUAAGGCCUAUGCACGGCAAAAGCAGACAACAACCAACGCAUCAGUAGAUUUUCUUGUUGGGUCAGACGAUGGGCAUGAAGAGCUAUUGGCUGCUGUAAAUGCUGUUAUUAAUCAAGUUCGUGCCUUUACGAGCCCUUUUUGGAAGCAGAUGCAGCCGUUUUUUGGUUUCAUAUCUGAAGCAGACAUUGCGUUCUUAAAGCAACAAGGCAAUCUUGAUUCCACUGCUCCUAAGCCAACUCCACUUCAUUCUAGUGUUGUUGGUUGCUGUGCUGUUCCUAAUGGAUAUGGGUUGAUUGAGCAUGAGAUAGAGAUGGGGCUUUCUACUGGAACAAGAAGCAUCGAACUGCUUGCAGAACAGUUAGUACCACAUACAGGGGAUCAUAGUCUGAUUCCCUUGUGUCAGAGACUCAUAGCAGCUCUAAUUUCGGAGGAGGAUUGCAAAAGUGUAAAUGAAGACCUCAAAUAUAAUGAGUAUGGUUCUGAAUUUGAGCUGGAUGGAGAGUUGGAAUCUAAUAAUAUGAAUGACCAGUCAUUUGUUAGCUUCCAGUUUGUUGGGCCUACUGAUUUUAAUGGCUUUAGGAUAACUGGGAAGGCAGAGCAUGAUGAACCUGAAAGCAACAUAGUGGGCAUCCUAAACACAGGGAUGAACUCAACAUUUGGUCAUUCCCCAAACGGCUUACAUUCAGACAUUUCAUUGAUGUCUAGCAUGGCUUGUUCUGAAUUUCUUUAUGAUAAUAUGCGAUUAAAUGAAAAACUUCUCCUGGAGGUUCAAAGUAUUGGUAUUUUCCCAGAACCUGUGCCUGACAUGGCACUGAUAGAGGAUGAAGGAAUCAGUGACGAAAUCAGUAGAUUAGAAGAGAAGUACCAAGUACAGGUUUCGAAGAAGAAAGGCUUGCUAGAUAGACUUUUGAAAUCUGCCUUAGCCAUGAAAGAUCUCCAAGAGAAGGAGUUUGAAGAGCAUGCCCUUGACAAACUUGUUGGAAUGGCCUGUGAAAAGUAUAUGACUGGCACUGGUGGGAAGAUUUCCAGUAACAAAAUGGCUAAGCAAGCUGCAUUAGCUUUUGUUAAACGGACAUUGGAACGAUGUCAUAAAUUUGAGGAUACAGGAAAGAGCUGCUUCAGUGAACCCUUAUUUAAAGACUUAUUUCUUUCUGGGUCUUCCAAUCUCAAUGGUGCACGGCUGGCAGAUACCACUACAGAGGGUGAAUCAACCAAACCAUAUACCUGCAUCCGUUCUCUGGAAGCAUCCAUGAGUUCACAGCAAAGCCCUUCGCAGUUUAUUAAGAAUGCAGACAACCAUGAUAUUAAUUCUUUGGAUGCCCUUCUGCCUGUAAAUCACUUCUCUGAACAAACUAGAGAAGAUACAUGGUCAAACAGAGUCAAGAAGAGGGAAUUGUUGCUUGAUGAUGUUGGUGGUGCUAUUGGUAGUUCAAGUGCCCCCUCAGGCAUUGGCAGUUCUCUGUUAAGUAGUGCCAAAGGAAAGAGAAGUGAGAGGGACAGAGAUGGAAAGGGACACAGCAGAGAGAUGUCAUCUAUAAAUGGUACUACUAAGAUUGGUCGGCCUGCUUUAUCAAAUGUUAAGGGGGAAAGGAAAUCUAAAACAAAGCCGAAGCAGAAAACGACUCAACUAUCUGUUUCCGUAAAUGGCCCUGUUGGCAAGAUAUCAGAGCAACCCAAAGCAGCAUUGCCUUCUAAGUCAAAUGAUAAUACAAGUAGCCAUGUCAAGGAAAAAGAUGGGUUUGGCUUGGAUGUAUUGGAUGAGCCUGAGUCUCUUGAUUUAUCGAAUCUACAGUUACCGGAAAUGGAUGUACUAGAUGUGCCUGAUGAUCUUGAUGACCAGGGUCAGGAUCUGGGUUCAUGGCUGAACAUUGACGAUGAGGGUUUGCAAGAUCAUGACUUUAUGGGUCUUGAAAUUCCAAUGGAUGACCUUUCAGACUUAAACAUGAUGGUUUGAAGUUGCUUUUACUUGUAUAGUCUUGUUCAUUAUACGAGUGACACACAAAACAAAGUCGCUGUUGUCAAGAAAUGACCCGUUACAUGAAUAGUCAUUUGGCUACCAAGUUCAAAAUUAGAUGAAGUUGUGGUGAAUGCAGUAAUCACAAUGUAGGCCCAGCUCCAACUACUUCUUCGUAAGUGAGGUGAGGUACUUCUUUUGGUUUGAAUAGGGGGUCGCCCUUUUUUUGGUUGAAGUAGCCACUUUGGUCGCAGUCAGUUUAAACACAUAAACCCAGUUCCACCUGCAGCCAUGUUGAUAAAAAUGACUAAGUUUCAUGACUUGACUAGUCACUCGCCCUCGUAUUAGAAAAUCGUCUCACCCUGUGGUCAACAUUAAAUUACCCUUAGUCGUAGGUGCUCCUAUUUUGAUUUGAAUGGGCUGGGUCUUCCGAGGUAUAUCACCCGCAUUGUUGACCCACUCAAGCUUCGAUUGCUGUACGAGUCUCAACCACCUUGGCGAAAUGGAGUGCCAUCCGGAUGACUGAUUGAAGAAGCUGAUGUGUCUUACCUUUUUUUCUGAGUUCCAUAAGGAGCGGACAGUGAAGGUUCGUGAGGGAUACGAUCGCGUAGACAAGUCAGGUGACAGGUUGCUUGCAAGGCCCUCAAGUCCUUGUGCUAUUUUUCCUUGUUUAGCCUAGUUUUAUGGUGGGGAAUAGUCACAGUAGUGUUGAUUGAUUUCUGUGCAUCAGGGAUUCUUUCCUUGAGAUAGUAGGACUCAUUAAUUAACAAAUGUGGUUAUAGUCAUGGCUGAGUUAUCAUUAUUGAAAGGGGGUUUCAGUUUCUGCUCUCCAACCAGUUUCUGUCCUACUCGAUUACCUUUUGGUGUAUUUUCAGGUUUCUGGUUUUCCUAGUCUCUCAGUCUAGCCGAUGGUAAGAUUUUUCUUGCCAUCUUUCUUCUUCUUUUAGUAUUUGGAAGUCUUAUGCUGUAGAAUUGGAUUGUUCAUGCGCUAUAUUUUUUGGUAUAAUUUCCUAUGGGAAGAUCGUGCCCAAUUGCAGGAAGUCACAUUUGCUGUUAUAAUUGUGACAAUUUCAGGGAUUCUAUUUGCACUAAAGCUCAUGAUGAUUGGUUGGACCCGUCUCAGGAAUUAGUAAUCCACAACUUGGAGUUUUUCCGCAGGAUUUAUUUUUCACCUGAUUAGGCCACCUUCUCAAAUGUUAUUAACUUGCACGCAGUAUUAUAUGGUCGAGGUAUAUCUCUAACCCCUAGCCUUCGGUUGGCUCAAAUCAUGUUUCAGUAUAGGUCUGAAGUAUUUAUAUGUAUUUUGUUAAAGGCAUUUAUUUCUAGCUUUAAACAUUAAGAUUAUGCCUCCUUGCUACAUGGAAUUUGACUUAAAAGUAGCGUGGUUCAUCUUUCGAAAUAUCCAACUCAAUUUGACACCCAGUUCAUUCUCAAUGUUUGCCUUGUGUAUAGUUGGGCCUUGUGCCUUGCCCCAAACUGUUUUCUUGCUUCAGACUGAAACUCGAAAUCACAACUGAUACACAUUUCAUAAAUGCAGUUAAUAUUUUUAACGCCGUUGAGACUUCAAACCCACUGCUUGAUGGUUUAUUUUGUUUGCCUGACAAGCUCGUAGUAUUUUCUCUUCUCAUUUUCCAGUGAAGCCGGAAGCUGACUUUCACUGUGGGUUUUAGCUUUGCAACUCAUUUUUGUGAGUACCUAUGUUGUUGGCUUGUUAACUAGGCUUUGGUGGUGCUUGUCAUAUGAAACAUUGCCUUCAAGUAUGUCUAGUUAUGCUAUAGAUUAUUUUCUAGCUCGAAUUUUACCAUGCAUGUUCCAAGAUGAUGAAACAAAUAAAAGGCUUCAUUAUUGCA
This is an RNA transcript of Carya illinoinensis, 6227 nucleotides long. RefSeq lists it as uncharacterized. The transcript is spliced from 16 exons. The record is from RefSeq and is a predicted model, not a curated record. Lineage: Eukaryota; Viridiplantae; Streptophyta; Magnoliopsida; Fagales; Juglandaceae.